Molecule: ribosomal RNA, 254 nt
Filed under: uncultured bacterium
Lineage: Bacteria
Description: partial 16S ribosomal RNA
Rfam family: Bacterial small subunit ribosomal RNA
Source: RNAcentral
UACGGAGGAUCCAAGCGUUAUCCGGAAUUACUGGGCGUAAAGAGUUGCGUAGGUGGCAUAGUAAGUCGGUAGUGAAAGCGUGGGGCUCAACCCCAUGCACAUUAUCGAAACUGCUAAGCUUGAGGAUGAGAGAGGUUAUUGGAAUUCCCAGUGUAGGAGUGAAAUCCGUAGAUAUUGGGAGGAACACCGAUGGCGUAGGCAGAUAACUGGCUCAUUCCUGACACUAAGGCACGAAAGCGUGGGGAGCAAACGGG